RNAcentral lists this ribosomal RNA (425 nucleotides) under uncultured bacterium. Its description in RNAcentral is "bacterial SSU rRNA". It matches the Rfam family "Bacterial small subunit ribosomal RNA", at positions 355 to 796 of the family's 1533-position model. The record is from RNAcentral.
UGGGGAAUAUUGCGCAAUGGGCGGAAGCCUGACGCAGCGACGCCGCGUGCGGGAUGACGGCCUUCGGGUUGUAAACCGCUUUCAGCAGGGACGAAUCAAGACGGUACCUGCAGAAGAAGCGCCGGCUAACUACGUGCCAGCAGCCGCGGUAAUACGUAGGGCGCAAGCGUUGUCCGGAAUUAUUGGGCGUAAAGAGCUCGUAGGCGGCCUGUCGCGUCUGCUGUGAAAUCCCGGGGCUUAACCCCGGGCGUGCAGUGGAUACGGGCUGGCUAGAGGCAGGCAGGGGAGAACGGAAUUCCUGGUGUAGCGGUGAAAUGCGCAGAUAUCAGGAGGAACACCGGUGGCGAAGGCGGUUCUCUGGGCCUGUUCUGACGCUGAGGAGCGAAAGCGUGGGGAGCAAACAGGAUUAGAUACCCCCGUAGUCC